Molecule: long non-coding RNA, 1813 nt
Organism: Drosophila yakuba
Lineage: Eukaryota; Metazoa; Arthropoda; Insecta; Diptera; Drosophilidae
Exons: 3
Source: RefSeq, a predicted model, not a curated record
ACGAAUUAAACGAGGUAUGACAUUCCACUUUUGAACAACUACUUUUAUUGCUAUCUAACUAAAAUAUAUUUUUCGGCUGUAGGUUAAAUUUUGUUUUUGAAUUAGCAUAUAACAACAAAUUUCUUGCAGUGCAAUGGCUGAAUAAGGAGAACACACACUAAUACCUGGUCGAGCUAGCUUCUCUGGGCGCUUUUGCCUUGAACGCAUUUUUCACACAUGUUAAGUGCAUCUCCGCCCCUCUCUGUAGAUGCAUCUGUCCCUGCCCCUGCCCCUGCUCCGUCCCGCUGUUGUUCAAUAAAUAGCUUGCAACAUGGUGUCCAGUUUUCAUCUCAUUUCCGCCUGUCCUCUCCCCUCUUCCCCCUCCAUCACGGCCAGCAGUUUCCUUUGUCAGCCAUAAAAACGCCCGAAAAUGUUGCAUACUUUCUGGGGAGCUCCUGUGUGUUGCCUCAAGUGUUUGCCGCAGUUUCAUGCGCUUUUUACGACACUUUGUACCUCCUGCCAACGCAGCCAGGGCCAACUUGUGCCUUUCAAAGGCAUAAUUUGACAGCAAAUUGUUCAGUUUAUAGCCAGGCACUAAAUAUUCUUUCAACUUUCGGCUGUGAAAGUGCAGAGAUGGGCUCCAUGCAAAAUAUAUUUCGCAUACAAUGUGCCAGCAGCCUUCGCCCCACUUCACACUCUAAAUCCAUCUAGCUGGCUGCAAAAAACUUGGCUAUUUCCACAUCGUUUUGUUUCCAAACUUGGCUUGAAAUAAUGCAACAAAGUUGGGCCAGGAUUAGCAGGAGCGAUGCACCCACCGGAUGUAAUGGCCAAAUGAGUUUUAGGUUUUUUUUUUCCUCCUUUAGCUGCCUCUUAUCAGACACACAAGCAGCAUAAAAAAUGUCUUAAUUCACACAAAAUUUCACUGGAGCUAAGCGGAUUGUCCGACCAACUGACUUGGAAAAAGUGAGUGGCCAGCGAAUGCCAUAAAGUUAUUAGAUUCUCCUACUUAGUAAUUAGUUUCGCAUACGUGGCUGCGUUUCAGUGGUCAGGAUAAUUGCGGUUAAGCGACAGGCACAAGCUGCUGGAAAUAUGAACAAAAUUAAGUUGUCUUGUUAAACUUUAAGAUAUUUUUGCACAUUUUUAUGUGCAAUUACAAAGCUACCUUUCCCAGUUGAAAGCUGUAAGUUAACACAACAUCAAAACAAAGCCUACAUGUAUAAUUAUCUCAAAGUUGGCAAUAAUCAAAGCACGAAAUUCUACAACAUUUUGCCAUUAACUGACGACAAAGUGUCAUGUGCACAACUAUUGCCUUUAAUUGUGGCAAACUAAAUUCUUAAUUCCUAGUGCGGUACGAAAUCUAACAGUUACAAAGCAAAUUCUAACACCACCUGGAUAUCUCUAAUUCCAUUUAAGACCAUGUAUAUGUAUGAAUCUCAUAUUCCUGGCAAAAAUCAGCAAAUUGCAGUGGUCUACUUGGCUCAUCCUGCGCAUUCCAUUUGGCCAUGCAGCUGGGUGUAGCAACUCAAAAGCCCAAAAGGACUUUCAGUGCACAGUUACGGCACAGGAAUCCAGGGGCACGAUGCAAGGAGGCAACAGCAGCAGCUCCAAUGGCAACAAUGGCAGAACAAAUGCCGCCUCGGAUAACGGAAACGGAAGUUGCUUACAAGCGUAGUAAGGCUGCAGGAGCGACAGAGAGGGCGAGAGGAAGUGGCGCACAAUAGAGGGAGAUGGGAUGAUAUGACAUUUUUGCAUAGACGCUAUCUCUGCGAAUGGGCCGAAAACCAAAAUUGUUUAUUUGCCACAGUACCACACACGCACACACUUAAAAAUCGUU